Molecule: ribosomal RNA, 658 nt
Filed under: Inocybe ochroalba
Lineage: Eukaryota; Fungi; Basidiomycota; Agaricomycetes; Agaricales; Inocybaceae
Also listed under: 1 other name
Description: eukaryotic LSU rRNA
Rfam family: 5.8S ribosomal RNA (bases 276-429)
Source: RNAcentral
UCGUAGUGACCUGCGGAAGGAUCAUUAUCGAAUAAACUUGAACAGGCUGCUGCUGGCCUCCUCAUUUGAGGGGUGUAAUGUGCACGCUUGUCAUCUUUAUCAUCUCUCCAACUGUGCACAUAUUGUAGACCUGGAAGAAAGCUUUUGAAUUCAUUUUCGAGUUGGGACUGCUGUGCUUUUGAUCAAAGUCGGCUUUGCCUUGAAAUUUCCAGGUCUAUGUCAUUUUCACAACCUCUUGAUAUGUUUAGAAUGUUGAACCAUAUAAAAAAAUAUACAACUUUCAGCAACGGAUCUCUUGGCUCUCGCAUCGAUGAAGAACGCAGCGAAAUGCGAUAAGUAAUGUGAAUUGCAGAAUUCAGUGAAUCAUCGAAUCUUUGAACGCAUCUUGCGCUCCUUGGUAUUCCGAGGAGCAUGCCUGUUUGAGUGUCAUUUAACUUCUCUCAACUGCAUCACUCAGUCUGAUGUGGCUUGGACGUGGGGCUUGCAGGCUUUGAAUGAAGUCUGCUCCCCUGAAAUGAAUUAGUGGUAUCUGAGCUGCCAAUAGGUGUGAUAAUUAUUUACUCCUUUUGGUCAUGCUGGUUGUGCUGCUUCUAACAAACACUUGUUUGACAAAUUUGACCUCAAAUCAGGUAGGACUACCCGCUGAACUUAAGCAUAU